UCGCCCUUAGAGUUUGAUCCUGGCUCAGGAUGAACGCUAGCUACAGGCUUAACACAUGCAAGUCGAGGGGCAGCGGGAUUGAAGCUUGCUUCAAUUGCCGGCGACCGGCGCACGGGUGAGUAACGCGUAUCCAACCUUCCGUACACUCAGGGAUAGCCUUUCGAAAGAAAGAUUAAUACCUGAUGGUAUGAUGAGAUUGCAUGAUAGCAUCAUUAAAGAUUUAUCGGUGUACGAUGGGGAUGCGUUCCAUUAGGUAGUAGGCGGGGUAACGGCCCACCUAGCCAACGAUGGAUAGGGGUUCUGAGAGGAAGGUCCCCCACAUUGGAACUGAGACACGGUCCAAACUCCUACGGGAGGCAGCAGUGAGGAAUAUUGGUCAAUGGACGAGAGUCUGAACCAGCCAAGUAGCGUGAAGGAUGAAGGUCCUACGGAUUGUAAACUUCUUUUAUAAGGGAAUAAACCCUCCCACGUGUGGGAGCUUGUAUGUACCUUAUGAAUAAGCAUCGGCUAACUCCGUGCCAGCAGCCGCGGUAAUACGGAGGAUGCGAGCGUUAUCCGGAUUUAUUGGGUUUAAAGGGAGCGCAGACGGGUCGUUAAGUCAGCUGUGAAAGUUUGGGGCUCAACCUUAAAAUUGCAGUUGGUACUGGCGUCCUUGAGUGCGGUUGAGGUGUGCGGAAUUCGUGGUGUAGCGGUGAAAUGCUUAGAUAUCACGAAGAACUCCGAUUGCGAAGGCAGCACACUAAUCCGUAACUGACGUUCAUGCUCGAAAGUGUGGGUAUCAAACAGGAUUAGAUACCCUGGUAGUCCACACGGUAAACGAUGGAUACUCGCUGUUGGCGAUAUACUGUCAGCGGCUUAGCGAAAGCGUUAAGUAUCCCACCUGGCGGAGUACGCCGGCAACGGUGAAACUCAAAUGAAUU
Molecule: ribosomal RNA, 920 nt
Filed under: uncultured bacterium
Lineage: Bacteria
Description: bacterial SSU rRNA
Rfam family: Bacterial small subunit ribosomal RNA
Source: RNAcentral